UAGCUCAGCUGGAUAGAGCACCAGACUACGAAUCUGGGGGUCGGGAGUUCGAAUCU
This 56-nucleotide transfer RNA is filed under the name Alphaproteobacteria bacterium. Its description in RNAcentral is "tRNA-Arg". It matches the Rfam family "tRNA", at positions 8 to 60 of the family's 71-position model. From Rfam's summary of the family: Transfer RNA (tRNA) molecules are approximately 80 nucleotides in length. The record is from RNAcentral. Lineage: Bacteria; Pseudomonadati; Pseudomonadota; Alphaproteobacteria.